RNAcentral lists this transfer RNA (87 nucleotides) under Planctomycetales bacterium. Its description in RNAcentral is "tRNA-Ser". It matches the Rfam family "tRNA". Rfam says of the family: Transfer RNA (tRNA) molecules are approximately 80 nucleotides in length. Their secondary structure includes four short double-helical elements and three loops (D, anti-codon, and T loops). The record is from RNAcentral. Lineage: Bacteria; Pseudomonadati; Planctomycetota; Planctomycetia; Planctomycetales.
GGAUGGGUGGCCGAGUGGACGAAGGCGGCAGUCUUGAAAACUGCAGUACGGGUAACCGUACCGGGGGUUCGAAUCCCUCCCCAUCCG